RNAcentral lists this ribosomal RNA (253 nucleotides) under uncultured bacterium. RNAcentral describes it as "partial 16S ribosomal RNA". It matches the Rfam family "Bacterial small subunit ribosomal RNA", at positions 524 to 776 of the family's 1533-position model. The record is from RNAcentral.
UACAGAGGUCUCAAGCGUUGUUCGGAUUCAUUGGGCGUAAAGGGUGCGUAGGUGGCGGGGUAAGUCAGGUGUGAAAUCUCGAGGCUCAACCUCGAAACUGCACUUGAUACUGCCUUGCUCGAGGGUUGGAGGGGGGACUGGAAUACUUGGUGUAGCAGUGAAAUGCGUAGAUAUCAAGUGGAACACCAGUGGCGAAGGCGAGUCCCUGGACAACUCCUGACACUGAGGCACGAAAGCUAGGGGAGCAAACAGG